UCUCCGUAGGUGAACCUGCGGAGGGAUCAUUACAGAGUUCAUGCCCUACCGGGUAGAUCUCCCACCCUAUGUUAUUAUUACUUUGUUGCUUUGGCGGGCCGUUAGGCUCCGGCCAGACUACCGGCCCCGGCUGGUAAGCGCCCGCCAGAGGACCCAAAACCCUGAAUAUUAGUGUCGUCUGAGUACUAUAUAAUAGUUAAAACUUUCAACAACGGAUCUCUUGGUUCUG
RNAcentral lists this unclassified non-coding RNA (229 nucleotides) under plant metagenome. RNAcentral describes it as "partial contains small subunit ribosomal RNA, internal transcribed spacer 1, and 5.8S ribosomal RNA". The record is from RNAcentral.